UGAGGAACAUGACCUUCGGCGGGGGAUAGCCGGCCCAACGGCCGGGUAAUACCGCGUACGACCACUCGGGGACAUCCCUAGGUGGUGAAAGCAGUAAUGCGCCGAUGGAGUGCCUCGCGGCCUAUCAGCUAGUUGGUGAGGUAACGGCUCACCAAGGCGACGACGGGUAGCUGGUCUGAGAGGAUGGCCAGCCACAUUGGGACUGAGACACGGCCCAGACCUCCCGUACGGGGAGGNAGCG
This 241-nucleotide ribosomal RNA is filed under the name uncultured bacterium. RNAcentral describes it as "partial 16S ribosomal RNA". It matches the Rfam family "Bacterial small subunit ribosomal RNA", at positions 118 to 352 of the family's 1533-position model. The record is from RNAcentral.